CGAGAUUCGUUCGUUAGCGAUUGUUUACCGUAGCAACAAAUAGGUACUUAUAUGUAGAAUUAUUUAAAGAGCCAUCACCUCAAGAAACUAGUCAGUGUUUUGCCGACAACAGAUCGUUUCGACCGGCAAAAUGAAGUACACUAUUUUAUCUCUUUUCAUGUACGUGGCUUUAACCCUAGCGGAAAGCGAGGAGCGGAAUGCCCUGACACUCAGAAAUGGCAACAACCAAUUUACAUCUAAAAUGUUCUCGGAAAUCGUCAGGGAGAAACCGAAUGAAAGCGUAGUUCUAUCAGCGUAUUCAGUACUGACCCCACUUGCUCAACUUGCUUUGGCUUCCGAAGGUGAAUCUCAUGAUGAGCUACUGGCAGCGAUUGGUAUGCCAAAUGACAAUGUCACUAAAGAAAUAUUUUCAAGCCUCGACAGUAACCUCAAAGCGGUUAAAGGUGUGACUCUAAAGUCUGCGAGUAAGAUUUACGUCGCAAAAAAUUACGAAUUGAAUGAACAGUUUGCCGAAGUGUCUCGUGAUGUUUUCCAUUCCGAAGUACAAAAUUUGGACUUUGUGGACAACCAAAGAGCAGCGAAUGAAGUGAACGCCUGGGUUGAAGGCCAAACUAACAACAGAAUCAAAAAUCUUGUUUCACCAGACUCUUUAGAUGAAAAUACCAGAGCUAUUCUUGUCAAUGCAAUUUACUUUAAGGGUCUUUGGAAAUAUCCCUUUAGUAACUAUACUACGGCAGAAAGAGACUUCCAUGUAACAAAGGAAAAAACUGUCAAGGUAGAAAUGAUGCAUCAGGUUAAGGACUUGAGGUAUGCCGAGAGUCCAGAAUUAAAUGCUAAGCUUUUAGAAUUACCAUACGAAGGAGAUCAGGCGUCGAUGUUGCUUGUGCUACCAAACGAAGUUGACGGUAUUUCUCAACUAGAAGACAAACUAAAGGAUCCCAACGCAUUAGAGAAUGCAAUCGCUAAAUUGGAAACUGUUGAAGUCUCUGUAUCAUUGCCUAAAUUCAAAAUCGAGACCGAAACGAACCUUAGAGACGUUCUAACAAAUAUAAACGUUAAGAGACUGUUCACGUCCGAGGCUCGUUUAAAUAACCUAUUAAAAGGCACGAGCAAUAUUUACAUAGAUAAAGCAGUGCAGAAGGCUUUCAUAGAAGUCAACGAGGAGGGUGCUGAAGCCUCAGCAGCUAACGAAUUUGAGGUGGUAGAUCGGAUUCUUUCUGUAAACUUCAGCUUUAAACUACCGAAGAUCUUCAAAGCCAACAGACCGUUCUUCUUUAACAUCCGUGCUGAUGGAACACCAUUAUUUAGUGGCGUCAAGUACAACUGAUGUUCCGCCACAUUUAUAUAACCUAUACAAAUCAAAAACUGAUUGUUAAGUAAAUUAGUAUCAUGCAAUAAAGGUUCAUAUUAAUUCAGCCAGUUAGUCUUCCGAUCAACUAUAUUCCACCGAAGAUAUUCAAUGCUGACAAACCAUUUUACUUUGAGAUCAGAGCUAAUAGAAUACCAUUAUUUAAUGGUGUGAAAUAUGAAUAAUUAUCUCAAUUCGAUUGCGUUUUUGUUUAUAAAUUCAAAAAUGAUAUUUUAUAACGAUUUAAUAGUAAUACACAAUCAUUUCCGAUGUUUCUA
Leptidea sinapis is the source of this 1626-nucleotide RNA transcript. It is a transcript of the gene named alaserpin-like, with no coding region annotated. The record is from RefSeq and is a predicted model, not a curated record. The transcript has 10 exons. NCBI's taxonomy places the organism in Eukaryota, Metazoa, Arthropoda, Insecta, Lepidoptera, Pieridae.